Molecule: ribosomal RNA, 4546 nt
Filed under: Triticum aestivum (bread wheat)
Lineage: Eukaryota; Viridiplantae; Streptophyta; Magnoliopsida; Poales; Poaceae
Description: partial small subunit ribosomal RNA
Source: RNAcentral
CCCCAAUCCUCCACCCAGACAGAGCAAGUCUAGGGUUUCUUCGCAUAAGCAGAGCGGCGAUGGCGAAGGCGGAGGCGGAGGCGGAAGUGGACUCCUACAUUAAUUAUAUGUUGAUGCAGAGGAGGGAGGCGAUGAGGAAGGUUGAUGAGGCGCGGGAGAGGAUGAAGAGAGGAGGCCCCGGCCGCAAAAUGAAGAAACGGAAGACGGAGACGGGAAAGAGCUCAAAGAAGGCGGCGGCGGUUCCGGUGGAGAUGAGCGUCAGCGAGGUGGGGAGCAGCCCAGCGGAAUCUGAAGAUCUGGCGAGGACAAGGGAGAUUAUGGAAGCAGCCAUGGCCAAGAUUCUGGCGCGGAUGAAGGGGAUCGUCAUCAAGGAGCCGGUCAAGACGAUGACAGAGGAGGACGUCGCGGCGGCGGCCGUGUACAGAGCCAAGGCGGAGGAGGCGCGCAGGAACGAGGACCGGCCGGAGGAGUCCAGCGCCCUCAGGAAGUGGAUCGCCACGGGAGACCCCGAGGCCGUCAAGUGCCGCAAGGAGUGGAUCGCGGACGACAUGGAGGCCCUGAGGCUCAAGGACAUGGAUCCCGACGAGGAUACCUCCGACUGGCGUGCCUUCGAGGCCAAGGAGUUCCGCGAGUUCUGGGAAUACCUUUAUCCCAAAUCCUUCGGAAAAUUCGAGGACAACACGCGUAUCCCAAACAUGCUUUACACGGACAAGAAGUCGUCAGGUGGCACAGCCCACCCCAUAAGAACUCUGCAGGUCUUUACAGUCAAAGUCGCGGGAUUACAAGAUGGAGUGCACUGGCCGCUGGAAGUGUUUGGCGUCGUUGCUGCACGAGACUGUUUGGAUCAUAAUCGCAAUGUUAUCUUCCAGCGCGAAAGGGAUAACUGCCAAAUGAUCCACAAGGAGGUUUGUAUUCCUGCCGCUGACAGUUAUUAGUUUGGUGUCUAUGUAUGUACCUCCAUCAAAACUAUACAGUGUGAUGAUAUUAGUAAAUAUAUGGUCAAAUUACAGAUUUAGAACAUAAAGUGGAACGAGAAAAUAAUAUACUUUUUUUUUGUAGACUUUGCGAAGAUGAAACAGUCUGUGCCACAUAUAUAUGUAGAUUUCAGAAUAUAUGAUCUGGGCAUUGCCAUUGGCACAUAUAUACGAAGAAUUUUGGGGUACUCCCCUGUGUAGUUACUCCCUAGGCAUCCAUCGUUAUUUAACCUUCCUGUGCCACAAGCCUGAUCGGGUUAAUAUGGAUGCUUCAGAAGACAUUUUGCUAAUUAAGUUUAUUAAUUAAUUAAGUAAUCCAGCAAGUGAUGUGUUGGUUCAAACACCUCUUUAAUUAUUGGCCACAGGGAACAAAGUUCUUGAUCGGAUAAGGAUAUUAAUACCACCAUGUUUAUUAUUCCAUAAGAUGGAACAAAAAUAUCUGGUUGGAGCACACUGUUUUUUGAAGGAAAAAUAGUAUGGAGCAUGUAUUAAGAAGUGUAUCACAUUUUCAGGAGUAUGCACUCUGUAAUAUGAAUAUGAACCUUUUUAAGAGUAUGCAGUAUGCGGUAUAUUGUACUUAGAAUAUAUAAAUGGAGUAUGUAUACUUUGGAAAAUGUAUAGUUACUGAGUAGUAGAUAACUUUUUUAAGAGUAUGGGAGUGUGGUAGAGUAUGUGUUUAUAGCUGCAGUAUGGAUUAUAUUGUUUUAUUAGAGCGUCCAGUGUGUGUGUGUGCGAUUUGGAAAACCUGUUCACUUGCCGGCAUAUAGCUGUUCUGCUAGUAUGUAUAGCUGCCAAUAAAACCAUGGCCCUGGCAACUUUCGUUCAAUCCAACCAUGGAUUGUGCACACACCCUGCUUCUCAAGUUCUCCACCUGCAAUUAAAUCGAACUUGGGGUAUUUCCUUGUAUCCGAGUUAUUACACAGCUGGAGAAACAACUGGAUUUUAUUCUCUAGAGAAAAGUUGCUAUGCGAUUUAAACAAGAGAUUAGACUACUCACAUUAAGCACCAUCAGACAGUGUCAACCAGUUGAGACUUCUUCCCUAAGUGGCUGUUUACCCAUGUGGUCGAUCUUCCCUCUCCUGAAGCUCUUUCUACCUCACCUCCUCCUCUGGUCUCACUCUCUCUCCCAUCUCCGGUGGUUCCAGCGGUGGAAAGAAGAGGGAUGGAGGCCUGUAUCCCCCUACUAUGAUAUUAGGUGUUGUAAUCUUUUUAAUAAACCAGAUAUGCCAGUUAGUCUUCUCCUGCUCUUCCUUGCUCUAUACCUGGUGGCUGGAGCUCUUGCAAGCAGUGGAUGAUGGCUCCCUGGCGGAUCUGCUCCUCUACAGGGUUUGGCCCCUGGCUUCACCCUCCCAUCCACUUCCCAGCUGCCGCCUGUCCAUGUUGAUGGCAAGUUGUUUGGCUUAGGUGGUGUCAUCGACGAUGGAGCUUAUGCAGGAUCCGCGCCUUCUUUAUCCAUGGCCUCUCGCCGUCUGCUAGAUCCUUGUUCGGUGACGUCUUCUUCCUGUCGCCUUUCUCUUUUCCCCAGGUAUCAAUAAAUCCCUGUUUCAUUCCUCAGUUAUCCUCACCGGAUUUGGUGCUCCAUUUUUUUUUCCGCCGACGGCUUCCUUUCUAAGCCAUAGAUCUGCCCCCUUCCUGCUUUGGGAGGGUUGGUUUCCUGGGAUUGGCAUUCUAUUAUUCCUUUUUCUUGGCUCCUCCCUUCUUCUCUGGCGAAUUGUUUCAUGCCUCUCUUAUGCACUGGACAAAGGCCUUCCGUUGCCUAGGUGUUUGAUGGGACGGCGGCAGCGAGCGCCUGGGACAAUUAUAAUCAUAGCAAGCCGUUUGAUCGCAUCCCAUUUGAGAGAGCGGGAGGGGAAGGGAGGGGGUGGGAGAAUUCUAUGGAAGGGCGCCUACAACAUUUAGCCUACUCUUGGCUGUUCCCUUUGAGAAUACAUUGGACCUCUUUAGUUGUGCGACCACAAGGCGUAGGUAGAUUCUCGAAUCCAUAGCCUCCCCUGGUCUGUGUGAGACCAUUCUUUUAUUUUGUUUGUACCUGUUACUUUAUCGUGUUCUCUUGUAAAUUUCUGCUUGAAAAUUUUGAACACUGUUGUGAUCUGUUGACAAAUUAACCUUUCAGAUAUCUGUUUUUAGUAGUAUAUGAACACCCUAAUAAUAUGCCCCCUUUUUUGUAUGUUGUUUGCAGACUACACAUGUUUUUGCAAGUUAUGUUUUCAUUGUGAUGAUGCUCGAUGCCUUUGGGUUCAGUUUACAUAUGUUUGUUAACUUGCUUCAGCUUUGAAGACUUGAAAUGCUUUCUUACCUAUCUCGACUCAAAUCUACUGGCUCUAAAUUACAUCUUAAUUUUGCAUGUCACGUGUUUACCUUUCUUCUGUGCUUGCUAUCGACAGAUAUUUAAAUUAAGCUAUUUUGCUUAGGUUUCAUUUUAUUUAUGAUUGUUUGUCGAUGAAUGCACAUUCUCUCUUAUUUUCAACAUAUAUUGGUCAUAUAUGCUGCAGUCCUAUUUGAGAUAAACGAUACAUUACUUACUAAAUAAUGUCUGCAUUCAGAAUCCGUAUCUGACACUGACAGGUCCUAGCCGUGCUAUUGUGGUGGUGGAUCCUGUGUGGUUUGAGGUUGCAUUGAAAGUGAAGGGCGCCACUGAAUCUGAGGAUAAAGAGUUGAGCUAUCACGUCGAUCCUUAUUAUAUUUCCGGCUCAAUGAAUUCCUAUGUGUUCAAUCGCGUCAGGACUAGCAGGCUCAGCACAAUGGAGUUGACAUUGGGUGACAUGGUUCAUUCCGUGGAGGCCACCAUCAGUGUGAAAGUGGUUGGCGGGGAGUGGCCACAAGGUUUCAGAGGUGUAUUUACCGCCACUACCGCCAGCAUAGACGAGGAGAAAAUCGAGUUGCUUGGUUUCGGAGACGACAAAUUGCCUGUUGUAGCUGAUGGCUCAAUACAGCUCUCACGAAGUGUUGUGUCUGUCGAAGACGACGGGCAGCUGAGAGUCUCUGUCAUGGCGCGUCACCUGGUGGAUCGAUCUGUCAGGCGGGCUUCUGGAGUACUCGCAGCUAAGACAUCCUCCAGAAGCUAUGCUAACCUUGAAGUUUUCUCUUGUAAGAUGGAAGUCACUGUCGCCUGGUCUCUUCUCCCGUACUGGCCACAUUACCGUGACAUGCCGUGUCCUAGCAUAUGAAUGUGGCUUUGGUUUGGCUCUAGGUGCCGAAAGUAGUUAUUUAUCUAUGCAUGUAUGUAUAGUUCGUAGCAUGUGUUAUGCGGUGGUACUGUAGCUUAAGCUGGGUGGGUUCAGUCCUCGCACCGGGAAAAUAAUUAUGUCGACAUAAGUUUAUGACCUAACAAUUUUUUAGCAAAAGCCAACUGGAGAUUGUCUGCUGGGGAGGGUGGCAUUUUGAACGGUUUUGCGGUCGUUUUUAGUUGUGUUGGGGAUGGCUGUUUCUUCAGAACAACAUACAUUUUCUAGGAGGGUGAUAUCUUUGAACCUUCAUCCUAGAAAAUGUCAAACUGCCACCCCCGGCUAACUAAAACUGCCAGCAAAAUGUUCGCACAUACCACCUCUCAGCGAACGGUCACUAGAUAAGAG